CAGCCGCCGCGGUAAUACAGAGGGUGCAAGCGUUAAUCGGAUUUACUGGGCGUAAAGGGCGCGUAGGUGGUUAUUUAAGUGAGAUGUGAAAGCCCCGGGCUUAACCUGGGAACUGCAUCUUAUACUGGGUAACUGGAGUGCAGUAGAGGGUAGUGGAAUUUCCGGUGUAGCGGUGAAAUGCGUAGAUAUCGGAAGGAACACCAGUGGCGAAGGCGGCUACCUGGACUGAGACUGACACUGAGGCGCGAGAGCGUGGGGAGCAAACAGGAUUAGAUACCCCCGUAGUCCCUGUCUCUUAUAC
RNAcentral lists this ribosomal RNA (301 nucleotides) under uncultured bacterium. RNAcentral describes it as "partial 16S ribosomal RNA". It matches the Rfam family "Bacterial small subunit ribosomal RNA", at positions 509 to 807 of the family's 1533-position model. The record is from RNAcentral.